Molecule: ribosomal RNA, 431 nt
Filed under: uncultured bacterium
Lineage: Bacteria
Description: partial 16S ribosomal RNA
Rfam family: Bacterial small subunit ribosomal RNA
Source: RNAcentral
AACGAACGCUGGCGGCGUGCCUAACACAUGCAAGUUGAGCGCCCAGGAUUGGGACUGGUACACACUAGAGUAACACCUAACGACAUACCUUUUGGUUCGGAACCACUCAUGGAGACUUCAGCUAAUACCGGAUAAGCACUUACAGGGAAAGAUUUAUCUCCAAAAAAUUGGCCCGCGUCUGAUUAGCUCGUUGGCGAGAUAACGGCUCACCAAGGCGAAGAAUAAUAGCUUGUGUGAGGUAAUGAUCAACCUCACUGGGACUGAGACACGGCCCAGACUCCUACGGGAGGAAGAAGUGGGGAAUAUUGGACAAUGGGGGCAAGCAUGAUCCAGCCAUGCCGCGUGAGUGAUGAAGGCGUUAGGGUUGUAAAGCUCUUUUGCCAGGGAAGAAAAUGACGGUACCGGGAGAAUAAGCCCCGGCUAACUUCGUG